RNAcentral lists this ribosomal RNA (252 nucleotides) under uncultured bacterium. Its description in RNAcentral is "partial 16S ribosomal RNA". It matches the Rfam family "Bacterial small subunit ribosomal RNA", at positions 524 to 776 of the family's 1533-position model. The record is from RNAcentral.
UACGAAGGGGGCUAGCGUUGCUCGGAAUCACUGGGCGUAAAGGGUGCGUAGGCGGGUCUUAAGUCAGGGGUGAAAUCCUGGAGCUCAACUCCAGAACUGCCUUUGAUACUGAGGAUCUUGAGUUCGGGAGAGGUGAGUGGAACUGCGAGUGUAGAGGUGAAAUUCGUAGAUAUUCACAAGAACACCAGUGGCGAAGGCGGCUCACUGGCCCGAUACUGACGCUGAGGCACGAAAGCGUGGGGAGCAACAGGG